RNAcentral lists this ribosomal RNA (497 nucleotides) under uncultured bacterium. RNAcentral describes it as "partial 16S ribosomal RNA". It matches the Rfam family "Bacterial small subunit ribosomal RNA", at positions 28 to 507 of the family's 1533-position model. The record is from RNAcentral.
GAUGAACGCUGGCGGCGUGCCUAAUACAUGCAAGUCGAGCGAACAGACGAGGAGCUUGCUCCUUUGACGUUAGCGGCGGACGGGUGAGUAACACGUGGGUAACCUACCUAUAAGACUGGGAUAACUUCGGGAAACCGGAGCUAAUACCGGAUAAUAUUUCGAACCGCAUGGUUCGAUAGUGAAAGAUGGCUUUGCUAUCACUUAUAGAUGGACCUGCGCCGUAUUAGCUAGUUGGUAAGGUAACGGCUUACCAAGGCAACGAUACGUAGCCGACCUGAGAGGGUGAUCGGCCACACUGGAACUGAGACACGGUCCAGACUCCUACGGGAGGCAGCAGUAGGGAAUCUUCCGCAAUGGGCGAAAGCCUGACGGAGCAACGCCGCGUGAGUGAUGAAGGUCUUCGGAUCGUAAAACUCUGUUAUUAGGGAAGAACAAACAUGUAAGUAACUGUGCACGUCUUGACGGUACCUAAUCAGAAAGCCACGGCUAACUACGUG